Molecule: small nucleolar RNA, 128 nt
Filed under: Cavia porcellus (domestic guinea pig)
Lineage: Eukaryota; Metazoa; Chordata; Mammalia; Rodentia; Caviidae
Description: Small nucleolar RNA SNORA30/SNORA37 family (ENSCPOG00000025778.2)
Rfam family: Small nucleolar RNA SNORA30/SNORA37 family
About the family: The members of this family belong to the H/ACA class of snoRNAs that guide the sites of modification of uridines to pseudouridines. This family includes human ACA30 (SNORA30), ACA37 (SNORA37) and the mouse homolog MBI-26.
Source: Rfam by way of RNAcentral
UUAGCACUUUCACAGGUCCACCCCUGGGCAGUGGGGCCAGGAUUUGGUAGCUGGUGCUGAGAGAAAACCUUGUUUGCAUCCUUGCCCUGGUAUUAUACCAUUGGCAGCUGUCAUUCAGUGGGACAGAC